RNAcentral lists this ribosomal RNA (253 nucleotides) under uncultured bacterium. RNAcentral's name for it is "partial 16S ribosomal RNA". It matches the Rfam family "Bacterial small subunit ribosomal RNA", at positions 524 to 776 of the family's 1533-position model. The record is from RNAcentral.
UACGUAGGGGGCAAGCGUUGUUCGGAUUUAUUGGGCGUAAAGAGCGUGUAGGCGGUUAGGUAGGUCCGUUGUGAAAACUCGAGGCUCAACCUCGAGACGCCGAUGGAAACCAUCUGACUAGAGUCCGGAAGAGGAGAGUGGAAUUCCUGGUGUAGCGGUGAAAUGCGCAGAUAUCAGGAAGAACACCCGUGGCUAAGGCGGCUCUCUAGUACGGUACUGACGCUGAGACGCGAAAGCGUGGGGAGCGAACAGG